UGCAGGAUAGAACAACGGCUAGUUUUCGGGGGUCUUCGCCCCGCGACGCGGGUUCGACUCCCGCUCCUGCACCCA
This 75-nucleotide transfer RNA is filed under the name Caudoviricetes sp. RNAcentral's name for it is "tRNA-Lys". The record is from RNAcentral. Lineage: Duplodnaviria; Heunggongvirae; Uroviricota; Caudoviricetes.